Passer domesticus (house sparrow) is the source of this 2158-nucleotide long non-coding RNA. RefSeq lists it as uncharacterized. The record is from RefSeq and is a predicted model, not a curated record. The transcript is spliced from 2 exons. Lineage: Eukaryota; Metazoa; Chordata; Aves; Passeriformes; Passeridae.
GUUCGGGCCGGGGCCGGGCCACAGUGAUUUCCAAAGGAGAUUGUCACUUGAGCUACUGCUGUAAGUUUCUGAAGAGUCUUUCUAAUUGGUCCAAAACUUGGAGGAGUUGGUGUGAGAACUGGACUUUGUGCUGUCAACAUUCUGAGUGUUGAGCCAGUGCUAAAUCCGUGCAACUGUAUGGGAAUGAAAUAAAUGACAUGAUUUAAACAAGGAAAUACUCCUGGCUGAGGCAUUUUAUCUGCACAAAUGCACACUAGGAGAGGAAGAGCAAAUCAAGUACAAGCUCCCAGUAGUUACAGAAGAAUGAAUGGAAGUAACUUCCUGUUUAGGCUGGAAAUUAGGAGAACAUUUGUACCCAUCAGAAGGGUGUUGAACUGGAGCAGCUGCCUAGUGACAACAGACGAGUGGAGAAGUGAAAGCCCAAAUUAAAGGCUUUUAGUGUGGAGUUUUUUGGAUGUUGGGGUCUUCAGAAGUAGAUCUUGAGUCCCACGGGCAAUGCAGGCAGCUUCCCAGGGGAGCAUCUCUGUCCCGUGCCAGGGACCUGCUGCCCUGGUCCCACAGAGUGAUUUGGGGGGUACCUGCUGGCCCAGCAGAGUUUCGGGAAAUGCCUCAAUGCUUGUUGGAUUUGAAUGGCAUUUGGGUCAAACUGAGUUUCUCCUCUGAGGGAUGGAGUCUUGAGCUCUCACAGGUUUUGCUUGAACAUGUCUUUCGUCUGUCCCCCAGCCCAAAAACCCCCAGCAGAUCCCUGCUCCUCCCUCUCUGUGUCUCCCACAGCUGUGAUCCUCAGAGCUUUUCCCUUACACUAAAAGAACUGGAAAUUGGCUGGGGUUUAUUCCCUCUUGGCGACAAAAUUGUCUCCUAUUGUGCAGCUCAGGGGGAAAGGAACCUCUUCCUCCCUUCAGUGUGCUGCAACAAAGUGUUUUGUUCGUCUUUGUGAAGAACUAGGAAGAAACACUUCUUUUUAAGCUGAGGGAGCCCAAUUCAAUUCCCUUAUCAUUUUGAGCAAAAUAACCAAGUUAUUUAUGUUGAAAGUCACUCCAAAAUUUUGAAGAGACCUUUUUAGAAAAUAUUUCUCUUGGUGACUGAUUACGAGUGGGUAUGGGAAGAAACUCUUUGCCUUGAACCACUCAAAGCAGUAAUUUCUUCCCAAAGAGUAGAUGUAAUUUCAUUUGCUGGGUGAAAAAAAAUAAGUAGUAGUGGACCAAAGGAGCUUCAAGCUGAUCUCCAUUUGCUGUCAAUGACUGAAUUAAAUGCACAGGGUUCCUAUCAGCUGUGCCCGACAAAACAUUGCUUUUGGGUUAUGGAGGUUUUGUCAGAAAUCUUUGUAGCAUGAACAGUUCAUGGACUUAUCUCUGCUGGCUUCAGCCAUUCCUGCUGUCCAUCAUAUCUUGCUAUUAUGAGGAAGCUCUUUUCAUUAUGUUGCCUUUUAAUUCAGAUAUCUGAGCCUUUUUCUACUUCUGGUCCCAGUUUUCAAGAGGACAAACAUUUUCUUAUCUGUGAGUGUAUUCAGUGGUGGCCACACAAGUGAAGGCAAGGAGCUGGCAGGUGAUAAUUUAUGAAACUUUCUAUAAUGGGAAAACCUCAGCAUUCAAUUUCCAUCUCCUUAGAAAUCUUUAUUUCAUUUCUUGUCCCUUGUGCACUUUGUUGCUGGUCUGAGUUUAGUGCUUGGAAAUGCAAUUCUAUGGAUCCCAAUUCUUUUGAGAGAGAAUCAUCUUGUACACAAAGCCAAAUAAAUUGAACUUUUCAAUAUCAGAGCAGUUUGACAUCCAGGCUUGGGGACCUGGCCGUGGUUAGUGCCUGACCAGCCUCAGCACACAGAGUUUGUCUGAUUUAGGUGAAAUUUCAUUCAUUGGAGACAAAGUAAAAUUGCCUCUUAUUUGCUCAGCACUAAAAAUCCAUCUGAAGCUGAUUGCCAAGAAUUGCUGCUGAGUGAUGGGAUUAACCCCUGCAAUGGCACCAUGAAAUGAGAGACUGGGAGAGGAAUAUUAAACAAUGGCAUUUCCAGCCAUGUGCAGGCCCUGGUCUUCUGCUCUUGGCUUGGUGCUGUCAAAGGGGCUGCUUUGGAUGGUUCUAGAGGCACUAAUCUGGGCAGUGAAAUGCACCUCAGGCACCAAUUGCAUCUCUGGUGUCUGCAAGUGCCUUUAUCUCCCUUCAUGCU